This 467-nucleotide ribosomal RNA is filed under the name uncultured bacterium. RNAcentral's name for it is "partial 16S ribosomal RNA". It matches the Rfam family "Bacterial small subunit ribosomal RNA", at positions 28 to 507 of the family's 1533-position model. The record is from RNAcentral.
GACGAACGCUGGCGGCGUGCUUAACGCAUGCAAGUCGAACGGAAAGGCCCUGCUUUUGUGGGGUGCUCGAGUGGCGAACGGGUGAGUAACACGUGAGUAACCUGCCCUUGACUUUGGGAUAACUUCAGGAAACUGGGGCUAAUGCCGGAUAGGAGCUCCUGCUGCAUGGUGGGGGUUGGAAAGUUUCGGCGGUUGGGGAUGGACUCGCGGCUUUCAGCUUGUUGGUGGGGUAGUGGCUUACCAAGGCUUUGACGGGUAGCCGGCCUGAGAGGGUGACCGGCCACAUUGGGACUGAGAUACGGCCCAGACUCCUACGGGAGGCAGCAGUGGGGAAUAUUGCACAAUGGGCGGAAGCCUGAUGCAGCAACGCCGCGUGCGGGAUGACGGCCUUCGGGUUGUAAACCGCUUUCGCCUGUGACGAAGCGUGAGUGACGGUAAUGGGUAAAGAAGCACCGGCUAACUACGUG